CGAGUCUUUCCACAGCCUCUACACAUGUCGGCCUUUCAUAGCGCAUGUGCAUAAGCUGUGGGAGUACUCU
RNAcentral lists this microRNA precursor (70 nucleotides) under Branchiostoma belcheri (Belcher's lancelet). RNAcentral's name for it is "mir-2070 microRNA precursor family". It matches the Rfam family "mir-2070 microRNA precursor family". The record is from Rfam by way of RNAcentral. Lineage: Eukaryota; Metazoa; Chordata; Leptocardii; Amphioxiformes; Branchiostomatidae.